GGCGGCGUGCCUAACACAUGCAAGUCGAGCGAGAAAACUCCUUCGGGAGUGAGUAAAGCGGCGAACGGGUGUCUAACACGUAAGAAUCUUCCCUUCAAUGAAGAAUACCCUCGAGAAAUCGGGGUUAAUACUGCAUAAUCCCUUCGGGGCAAAGGUGGCUUUAUGCUGCCGUUGAAGGAUGAGCUUGCGGGCUAUUAGCUAGUUGGUGAGGUAAAGGCUCACAAAGGCGAUGAUGGCUAGCCGGCCUGAGAGGGUGUACGGCCACAUUGGGACUGAGACACGGCCCAGACUCCUACGGGAGGCAGCAGUGGGGAAUAUUGCGCAAUGGGCGAAAGCCUGACGCAGCGACGCCGCGUGGAGGACGAAGGUCUUCGGAUUGUAAACUCCUGUUAAGUGGGAAGAAAACCCAAUCUCUAAUAUAGAUUGGGCAUGACGGUACCACUAGAGAAAGCACUGGCUAACCUCGUGCCAGCAGCCGCGGUAAUACGA
RNAcentral lists this ribosomal RNA (489 nucleotides) under uncultured Candidatus Babelota bacterium. RNAcentral describes it as "bacterial SSU rRNA". It matches the Rfam family "Bacterial small subunit ribosomal RNA", at positions 38 to 528 of the family's 1533-position model. The record is from RNAcentral.